GUCCUAGCUGUAAACGAUGGAGACUAGGUGUUGGGCCCGUUAGGGUUCAGUGCCGCAGGUAACCCGAUAAGUCUCCCACCUGAGGAGUACGGCCGCAAGGUUGAAACUCAAAGGAAUUGACGGGGCCAGCACAAGCGGUGGAACAUGUGGUUCAAUUCGAUGCUACGCGAAGAACCUUACCCAGGCUUGACAUGCUUGAAGUAGGAACCUGAAAGGGCAACGACUCGUAUCCAGUCGAGAACUUGCACAGGUGCUGCAUGGCUGUCGU
RNAcentral lists this ribosomal RNA (268 nucleotides) under uncultured bacterium. RNAcentral's name for it is "partial 16S ribosomal RNA". It matches the Rfam family "Bacterial small subunit ribosomal RNA", at positions 793 to 1055 of the family's 1533-position model. The record is from RNAcentral.